CUUUAAUUUGCACAUAUUUAUAAAUUGAAACAAAUUUGGUUAUGCUGAAAUUUGGCUGGAAGUUCAUAUUGCAGUAUUUUUCACCCACUAGUGUAUGCUGCUUCAGGAAUCUAAAUGCUAAAUAGAUAUAUAUUUAUUUAUAUCUUCACUCAGGUUCUGUAAAUUUUUGCUGACUACAGUAAGGGUUUUCAGGACUAAACUAUGCACAAAUUUCAAUACUUCUUUGUCAUUAUGGUCUCAAGGUUAUCUACUUUAAUAUGGGAAUUAUAGUGUUUACAAAGUAUCACAAUUCAAAUAUGUAUAUAAAUAUGAAUAUUGAAGUAUGGAAAACUUUAUCGCAUAGAAGUAUGAACUAAUUUACUUCUACUUUUAAGGUCUUAGAAGAAGGCCUGAACAAUACUCACUCUGUAUUUGGUUUGUUGGUAGAGUGCAAGUCAGUUUGCGAAAAUGACUGUACUUUGUGAUGGUUUGAAGAGUGACAUCUGUAGGUGAAACGGGUGAAUAUCAGACAGCUCAUUAUAGAGACAAGCAUGCUGCAUUCCCCGAGUAGGAUGACAGAACAAGUCAUGGGAUCUGGGAAACAUCCUGCCUCCCCUAGGCCCAGGGGCCGUGGAAGAGCAGCAUCACCAGUGUCCAUGGGCAGGAUGAACAAACUGGCUGUGCUCCUUGCAGUUGCUCCUACUGCUGAAGAGGAAACUGUAUCUGAGCUUUUUCACUCGCUCUCUGGUCCCUGUGCUGAAGCUGCUUCAAACAGCUGUCUGUGUAUGUGCUCCACAAUUUGGGCACUAUUUUUGGAGUCUUAUGUGCCUUGGAAUGAAAUGUCCCUGUUCUGCUCAGCUCCCAAAGGCAUUCCCAUUGAGAGCAAAAGAGAUGUCACCUGUGGGCCCUCCUGCCUUUUGCUGAGGAAUCAAAGUCAACCACCUCCUGCAACAGCCCAUGGGGCAGGUAUGCCAUCAUUCCCCGUGCACUGUCAGGUACCAGCACCCAACAAAUAUGACUCCAACACAGCCAGAUGACAGGGUCUGCAGAGGUCUUCUGAUCUGAAUGGGAGAGUGCAUUUUACUUCAUCUGUAUGUGCUUGGAGAAUAACACAUCAAAAUUCUUCUUGAAAAGUAUGGCCAAGUUAGGUCUGUCCACGGUUCCCCACUAUGCUCUUUCCAGUGUAUGGAUCAACAUCAAAUGCAUUGUAGUUUUGGCAAAUAAUUUCUCCCACUCUUCCCUUUCUCUUCCCCCUCCCCUCCCAGCUGACACACAGUGACUAUAGGGGGCAAUGCAACCUCAUCAUACAGCCUGUGUACAUCAGCUACAUACCACAUUAAUAGGCGGAAACUUUAAAGUCUUCGUUUUUACUUCUUGCUUUUGAGCAAUUUGUACCAUGGUAAGCUGUAUUGUUAUUUGGGCCCCAUAAAAUGAGACAUUUUAACUUCAGAUAAGCUUUUACCAGUUACAUUUUUUUGAUUGUUUGUAAAUGAAAGUUAAUAAAGAGUGAUUUCAUUUCA
RNAcentral lists this long non-coding RNA (1499 nucleotides) under Calidris pygmaea (Spoon-billed sandpiper). Its description in RNAcentral is "lncRNA (ENSCPGG00000005727.1)". The record is from RNAcentral. Lineage: Eukaryota; Metazoa; Chordata; Aves; Charadriiformes; Scolopacidae.